CUUCUGGGACCCUCGGUCUCCUCUUCGAGGGUCCUGCCUGGAUUUGCUGGCACCGAGGGCAAAAUGAACCUUCCAGAUUGUCAGGGGAAAUCAGCUGACUCCCUUUGAUUCCCGGCCUCCUCCCCAAAGCUGGUUCUCACGGCUGAGGGAGUUUGCUGCCCUCUCAAAAGUUAAGUCUGUCACCUCCACGUGGGGGUGGAGAGUGCCAGGUGAGUGGAGGCCCAGGCAUCCUGCCAGGAGAGAGCCCUGGGCAGUGGCAGCCCCGGAAGCCGCAGAGCAGGAGCUGCUGCUGGGUGUCCAGAGCCAGGCUUUCCACCCCUGCACUGCCCACGAUGACGCCGAAGCAGAGGACCCAGAGGGAGAAAACGCCCCUUAGGAGAAGCGGGCAGGGACCAGGGAGCCUGGGAGGGAGUUCAGACAGGGAGGAGGAGAGCCUGCUGGGAGCAUUUCCUGAAACUUCCAGCUCCUCCUCCCCUCAGUCUUUCCCAGGGCUGAGGCCAUCCCUGGGCAGCCACCUCCCUGCAGCGCCAGGCCCGCUCUGCCCACCCUUACUCAUUCCUCCUGUCUGGUGCUUGAGGACGUGGCGUCUGGAAAGUCUGUCCGACCCCAGGUGGUUCCAUCUGGACUCCAGCCCACCUCUGUGCACAGGACGCAGGAGCUCUGGCUGCCCACCUCUCUGUGAAGGGUGAUCACGGUGAUGUAUUUGAUCUUCUGGCAGCAAUUUAAUCGAAUCUGGAAAUCUGGGCGGGUACCUGGUUCCAGACUCAUCCCCUGUUGCUAGGAAACCCAACUCCUGCAGAUCCCACCCUGCUCCAUCCAGAGACAGUGGGACAGACCCUCCCACAGCUGAAGCAGGGCUGGGAAUGCUGGAGACGGCUGGGAACAGCAGUGGCCUUUGCACUGGCUAACUUCACCACAGAGCUCCCACGGGUGCCGGAAAAUAGGCUGUGGGGGUACUGCCCUCCCUGCGAGCCCUCCCAGGUGCUGCAGGUCCACCCCGGCCCUCGCCCCCCGCUCCCCCUCCACUUCUUGCACCCCCUUUACCCAUGCUCUCCCUCCCCUCCUCCACCUACUUCCACAGAAUCUGUCUCUCCUGCUCCAGGUCACUUAGAAGCCUGUGGCGCGUCCCUCGGUACCUCUCCACCUGCACACCAUAAACACCCGCAGUGCGGGGCCAUGGCUGUCUCUCCCUGGUGUCCCAGCACCUGCAGGCUAGUGGCUCUUCAGACUCCUUGCACCCCAGUGGGGUGCGGGGGGGCUGGUGGAAAGUGAGCCCUGUGGCUCCUAGAGAAAUGGAUCCUCUGCAAAGAUACCAGCGCCGGGCACGCUGCUGUCAUAAAUCUCUGUGUAAUUUCAGAGUGUGCAGUCCCACUCUGGUUGUUGGCGUUCCAUGCCCAUGGCUGAGCCCUCCACCCCUGCAGCCACAUCUCCCCAUGACUUGGCUGAGCCUGACUCUGUGGAAAGCACCCUGUGGGCCCCUCCAGAGUGGGAGGGCAGGAUGCUGCAGUGUGGGCGAGGCAGGCUCGGGAAGGUGCCACUGCAGGAGCCCAUCUCCAGUACCCCAGCCCCACAGCCUUCUCGGUUCCUACACCUUUGUCAUGCAGCCGCUUACACUGGAGCCUUUCACAUGGUCCCACCCCAACGCCUGGCUUCAUGAGGGGGGUCUGGGGUCCCUGGGCCGUUCCUCAGACUCAUGGCUGUCCAGUCCCCAUUACACGGGGCCAACGAGGCUGCAGGCAAUGAUGUUGGCCUGCCACUAAAGAGCUGGCCAGUGGUCCCACGUGCCGUUACAGGUGUCCUUGUAAGAGGAGAAGCACGAGCUUUCACACCGAAGAGACCAUAAGAACACAGAGCAGAGGCUGGAGGAGGGCCUGGAGGAGGCAGGAAGGGGCCUCCCGCAGAGCCUUCAAAGGGAGGGGGCCCCACCCCUUGAUUUUGGACCUUGGCUGGUGGAACGGGGAGAGCAUGCAUUUCUGCUAUUGUGAGCCUCCAGUCCAUGGCAAUUUGUUACUGCAGCCCCAGGACACAAAAAAGCCACUAAAUCAGAAUCUGAAUUGGGAAGAGACCCCCAGGUAAAGCGAUGCCUGAAGUCUGGGACGCUCUGGGCUACACACUGUCUGGAGCCUGGGUCAUGUCGGCCCAGCAAGACCUGAGUGUGAAGGAUGAUCACACUGAUGAGCAGGAAGACUCCUUCAGGUUAAACUGACCACGUGGUGGCCUCUCUCCCCACAUUGGUCCUUCUAAUCCUCCCACCCCACGGGAGCUGUCCUGCCAUCACCCAGGCUGGGAAACUGAGGCCAAAAAUGAAGUAACUUGUCUGAGAACAACUGUCUAGCCUAUAGCUGAGCUGGGAUUAGAACCUGGGGUCCCUGGCUUGUAGAAUCUCUGAGCCGGUGGGCCAAGCCCACUCUGCCACCUGGGGCCUCUUGCUCACCACUUUGAGGAUGGUAGUGCCACCCGUCGCAGCCCCGUGCCCUCCCGCUCCAAGCAUACAGGUGGUGGGUGGGGGAAGCUGAGCCCUGACGGCCAGGCUGAACUUGCUAGAAGACACUGGGGCUCACUGUGAGAGCACUGGGCUUGGAUGGACCAGAGGCCAUCUUUGCACUGUGACCCUCAGAUGGGAUGCAGGUGGCCUAGGCACCAGAGGUGGCCAAGGGGAGGCAGAAGCACCACAGCCACCAGUGGCAUGGGCCUGUCUGGGGCCAUGGGGACUCGGGGUCUGAGCUGGCGCUGGGGUCCUCAGCUCUCCCCACCCGCUGCUUCCCUCAGCUGCCUCUUGUGGCACUGUCCAGGCACCUGCCCACCUGAGGCCCAGGAGGGCUUGACCCCCUGUUGAGGGUCAGUUCCCCUGAAGCCAUGCCGGAGACAGAGACUGGUGUGCAGGGGGUCUCCAGGAGUCCUCUCAAACAGAACCCUGCAAGGGAACACAGGAAGCUGGGCCGGGCGGGGGAGAAGUUGAGCUGUGGUGCGACUGGGAGGCCUCGGCUCACCGCCCACAUGCCCAGAGUUGCCCCCAGUCAGGGCGAGGCACCCAAGGCUUCCCAAGCCACGCAUCCUCCAGUCAUGAGUCAGCUUGGACAAGGCUAUUCUCUCCAGCCAGGGCAGGCCUCCAGAGGGUUGGGCUGAGAGCUACUGCCAGCCGCCAGCACUCCCAACAGCGGGGAUCGUGUACUUUGGUACUGCAUGGGGAAUCUGGGCAGCAUGGCCCCAGGUCUACCCCGCACAUAGCCCUGCUGCCAGCCCCCCUUUAUACACCACCCUACACUCCUGCCUUCAUCUCUGAGCCCCUCACCCCAGCCUCCCUGCUUGUAGCUGCUGCUGGUCUGCCCCCGUGCUGGGAGGCCCCCAGGGUAGGGGCUAGGGCAGAGUCUGAGGGUCACAGCUACUUCUCUGCCUGGAUUUGGGGGUCAGUGGCUUAAAUCACCACAGACCCCCAAGGCCCUCCACAUGCACGUCUAACUGGGCAUCCUGCCAAGCCUGUCCCUGGCAAUUUCCUCCCAUUAAUAGCACUUCCAUUCACCCCAGGCAGCAAAUCUGUCAACACCAGCCCCCUUCUGGCUCAUAUUUUUUACUUUUAAUUAUGAUCAAAUGUGGAAUAUUGAGUAGUUUGAUGCAUUUUAGAUGUCCACAGAGAUCUCUUUCUAACCAUGCAAUUGCAGGACUCCAAUGGCUCGUAAAUGGAGCCAUUACUUAAAUAUGUGUGCAGUCGGGGCUCCGGAGCGGGACAUUUUCCCCCAGCAAGCGGUGCUGUGCGGGGAGUGGGAGCCGGAGACAGCACGGGAGUAAUUACCAAGGCAAAAGUGUCCUCUGAUCCCAGGAGCGAGCCCUGUUCUCCACUCGGGUGGGAAGACUGCUGAUGGGUGCUUUCUGGCACCUUGUACCUGGAUACCAAGCAACCAGCAGAGGCCACUGAGCAUUCCCACCCUCACCAGAGGACGUCUUGCCGGGAAGAAGUGACUGGCGGCGCACGGCCCCAUAAAUGCACCUGCUUUGAUCAAGACGAGGUCAGGGCAGAGGGGACUCAGGGUCAGGUGCGGGUCUGAGCCUCACCCCGUCCUCCCUGAGAUGACGCAUCAUGGUUCAGUGAGAGGUUGAACUGGGUGAGCCCCACAUUGACUGCAGGUUGCAGCCCACCGGCUGCAGGUGCACUGCUCUGAUGACCAGGCCGAGGAGGCUUAUCCAGAACAUGGACUGGGAUGGUGCAUCUGGGGCUGGGGUCUUUCCAGCUCUGAAGGAGAGUCUUGGGGGAUGCAGACAUCAGAAGGUAAAGUGGGGGCAUGAGGGCAUGGCCUGUCAGAGCAUCCCAGCAGCUGAGAUGGCCCAGCCUCGCCAGGUCCCUUGUUCAGGCUGUGCAGGUGGCAUGGCCAAGGGAUAGGGGUUCCCUGCAGCUGAGGGCGAUCCUGAUGGGCCAGGAGCCAUAGUCCUCCUUCAAGUGGGUCUCUAAGCUUCCCAUGAACCAUACCUCCCUCACUAGGGUCCAGUCAAAGAGCGGCUCUCCAGGAUCCCCAAGGGCCUCCCUGGGAAGCUUAGAAGGAGGUUUGGGGGCUCCAUGGCCCCUACUCACAUCUGUCCUUUGGAUCUUCCCCUUCACCCUCCAGGCUCCAUUCCCCCUACCCCCAGCCAGCCCCUCUGCUGAUGGGUGGCUCAGACCCUCAUCCCCAAGGAACCCUCUGGGUGGGGGUGGCUGUCCCUGUCCGGUUACAGUCACAGGGAGGGAGCUGCAGGAGCCCUCCCAGGGUGGGGGUCGCCAGGCUCUGCACACGUGUCCCGACCCCUUGUGAGCCGGCAGCCCCGACCUGAAUGCCAGUGUCGGUCUCCCUAGCGAGAGGAGGGUCCCCUUCUUGCCUGCUGGUGUCUGGAAAAAGGAGCCAAAUGGCCCAUCAACAGCCAUGCCUCAAAGCAGAGCAGGACGCCGGCUGUGUCCCUGUGUGAGCACAGCCGCUCUGGAGCCCAGGAUUCGACCCUGCCAAGCCCAAGCCAUGGGAGUGGAAGCACAGGCCCCCAGAGCGUCUCUGGGAGUGAAGGCAGGCACAGGCUGUCCUGACUCCAUCCAUUGUUUCCAAGCCCAUGUGUCCUUCCUGCUGGGGACACAGCGCCACAUCAGGGUGUUUGUUUGGGGGUGGCACCACCUCUCACCGGGCGUUGUGCCCACCACUCUCCCAGGCAGUAAGCCCCAAUAGGCCAUAUUUGAUGGGGCAGGGGCCCUGGGUAAGCAGUGCCAGGUCUGAUGUGGCGUUAUGUGGGGUCCCACGCCAAGCAGGCCAGCCACUCUGCAGGGCCCAGAUGACACUGCUGGCAGGGGCCCAGCAGCAGAAAAGGCAAACGCAGCCAUGGGAUCUGCACCUGUCCCUGGAGAACACGCCUCUCCUUCCCCAGGAAGAGCCCAGUGCAGUCCUCCAGGAGCCCAGCAGCAGCAAGGCUUUUCGAGGAGGCAGCCUCCCUAGGACCUGUGGCUGCAUCUCUGGACAGAGCUGCAGAGCUUCACAGACUCGGCUCCCGGCUGGCUAAGCCCUCAGACAUCCCUAGCCCAGGAGUCCCCGCUCAGAGGCCUCUUUACCUCCACGGAGGGAGACGGAGGGCAGCUGAGGACACUCAGCACUCAGGGCUCUGCAUCCUUAGCCCAUGUUUCUCUCUGUCCCCUCCCAAGUUCAUACAAUGGCAGGAGCCAUUAUCUUGGGGCUCCCUUGGAAGUGAGGCAACCCCCACAUCUGUGCUGACCCCUGAACAGAGGCCAUUUCAGGUAGGAAAGUGGAAUGGGGGAGGGGGCCCUGGCUUUCUUUGCUCUGGCCUCAUCCAAUCGCAGUAAGAGAGUGCUAUGGGCUAAACUGCGUUCUCUUAAAAUCGUAGGUUGACACCCUGCCCCAUGUGACUAUUUGGGGAUAAGACCUUUAAAGGGGUAGUUAAGGUGAAAACAGGUCCCAAGGGUGGGCCUUAAUCCAGUAGAACUGGGGUCCCCAUGGAGAGAGGGAGAGACACAUGGGAUGCAUGUGCACAGAGGAAAGGCCGUGAGAUGGUGAGAAGGCGGCCAUCUGCAAGCCAGACAUAGAGCCCUCGCCAGAAACCUCAUCGGCAACACCCUGACCGUAGACUUCUAGCCUCCAGAACUCGGAGAAAAUGAAUUUCUGUGGCUUAUGCUGCCAGCCUGUGGUCUUGUGUGGCUACAGCCCCAGGAGACACCUGCAAUGACUGAAGCCUGGGCCGUGGCCCCUUCCUUGUCUACUCCACUGAGCUCGGCCCUCUCCAGCUCAGCCCAGCCCCUGGCAGUUCACUUGCCACCAAGUGGGCAGUUGUUCUCCCAAGGAAUGGAGCCAUUUCCCGGGCCCAGCAUGGUCUUCUUUGCUGGCAGGUUGGACACCUGGUGGCCACAGGAGCUGGGUAAGCCUGGCAGUCCUCCUGUGGGGGAAUGUCGUCUCCAUCUCUGCCCCCAACGGUUGCCCCAUCCUCAUGCCCGCUGUGCCGGUGCUGGGUGGCAGAUGACCGAAGCUGAUGACCUCGACCAGCCCAGUCAGUUUGUCUCUGGCCUUUCAGUGGCCCCCUGUGGCUUAAACAUGUGAUACAGGAUCUUCACUGCCUGCGUCUGCCCACGUAUCUCUGUUCCAGACUCCAAGACUCCUCAGGGUGCGCUGGAGAAACACAACGAAUAGGCAGUGUAGACAGAGAGAGGUUUAUCAUGAGGAAAUGGCUCACACGAUUAUGGAGACAGAAGCCAGCAAUUGGCCAUCGGCAAGCUGGAGGCCCAGGAGAGCCCACGUGCAGUCUCAGCCCCAGUGCAAAGGCUGAGAACCGGGAGAGUGGAUGGCGUGGGCUCCAGUCGGAGUCAGAGCCCAAAGGCAGGAGAAGACCAGAGUCCCAGCUGGAAGGCGUCAGGCCCAGGGCAAGUCCUCCCCGGAGCUGCCUUUUGUUCUGUUCUGGCUCUCCACGGCCUCAGUGAGGCCAUCCGCGUUGGUGGGGGAGGUGUCUUCAUCUGUUUGGACUGCUAUGACAAAAAUACCACAAACUGGUGGCUUCUGGAAAAGAAACACUUGUUGCUGAUAGUCCGGCCUGGUGGCAGGGAGCUAAGCCCCGAGGCUCCACACCCCCGAGGCUGGUGAAGGCCGGGUCCUGGCCUCUGCCCACUGAGCUGUCCCCUCCAUGCUGUUUUCCAAUGUUUCCCCUUAAGAGGGCUGUGGUAUGGGUGCCGUCUGUGUUCACACUCACUUCUGAAACCCAGCCUUGGGCCUGCCCUCCCCGUGUGGCUGGUCUGAAUGCCUGAGCUGCUGAAGGAGGUGCCUGGUGCAACAGGCUGGGAGUUUCGGGGUCAGGGUCACCUCCCCACGGAGCUCAAAGGUGCCUCCGGCCCCGCUCAUGGGUGGGCCUGGGUUCUUUCCUUCUCAUAAGGGAUCAUUGCUAGACACAUCUGGCCUUAGCACUGGGUGAGCCUGGUGCAACCUAGCUCCUAAAGAGACGUUCAGGCCACACGGUCACCUGGGGUCCUGCAGUCGGGCGUUCUGUCUCUCUUCGAGCCGGGAGACACAGCAGGAGGUGCUUUCAGAGGCAUUCAUUUCCCUGUAGUCAUAGGAUGAGAAGCCACGUGUUCUCCCCCCAGGCCUGGUGGUAAACUCCACCUUCGUCCUUUCCUGCCACUGGCACCUCCAACUCCACGGUAUCUGCCUGAUCAAGGGCCUGAGCAGUGGGGCUGCUGCCACUACAGAGCUCAACAUGGUUUGGCCACAUCCCCACCCAAAUCUCAGCUCGAAUUGCAGCUCCCAUCAUCCCCAUGUGUCAUGGGAAGGACCCAGUGGGAAGUAACUGAAUCUUGGGUGGGUCUUUCCCAUGCUGUUCUUGUGAUAGUGAGUAUGUCUCAUGGAAUCUGAUGGUCUGAUAAAGGGGAGGUCCCCUGCACACGCUCCCUCUCUCCUGCCGCCAUGCCAGACGUGAUUGACUCCUCCUCCACCUUCCGCCGUGAUUGUGAGGCCUCCCCAGCCAUGUGGAGCUGUGAGUCCAUUAAACCUCUUUCAUUUAUAAAUUACCCAGUCUCGGGAAUGUCUACAUCAGCAGCUUGA
This is a non-coding RNA of Callithrix jacchus (white-tufted-ear marmoset), 8042 nucleotides long. The record is from RefSeq and is a predicted model, not a curated record. NCBI's taxonomy places the organism in Eukaryota, Metazoa, Chordata, Mammalia, Primates, Cebidae.